Molecule: ribosomal RNA, 639 nt
Filed under: uncultured bacterium
Lineage: Bacteria
Description: bacterial SSU rRNA
Rfam family: Bacterial small subunit ribosomal RNA
Source: RNAcentral
CGCGGCCUAUCAGCUUGUUGGUGAGGUAAAGGCUCACCAAGGCAUUGACGGGUAGCUGGUCUGAGAGGACGAUCAGCCACACUGGGACUGAGACACGGCCCAGACUCCUGCGGGAGGCAGCAGUGGGGAAUCUUGCGCAAUGGGCGAAAGCCUGACGCAGCAACGCCGCGUGGGGGAUGAAGGCUCUCGGGUUGUAAACCCCUUUCAGCAGGGACGAAAUUGACGGUACCUGUAGAAGAAGCCCCGGCCAACUACGUGCCAGCAGCCGCGGUGACACGUAGGGGGCGAGCGUUGUCCGGAAUUAUUGGGCGUAAAGGGCUCGUAGGCGGUUCGGUAAGUCAGAUGUGAAAGGUUGGGGCUCAACCCUAAGACUGCAUUUGAUACUGCCGUGACUAGAGUCCGGUAGAGGAGUGUGGAAUUCCUGGUGUAGCGGUGAAAUGCGCAGAUAUCAGGAGGAACACCGACGGCGAAGGCAGCACUCUGGGCCGGUACUGACGCUGAGGAGCGAAAGCGUGGGUAGCAAACAGGAUUAGAUACCCUGGUAGUCCACGCCGUAAACGUUGGGCACUAGGUGUGGGACCUUAUCAACGGGUUCCGUGCCGUAGCUAACGCAUUAAGUGCCCCGCCUGGGGAGUACGG